GUGCAAGUCAGCUCUGGGUGGGUAGCUGCCUUUUCAAUAGAUGGAGAAGGGAGGGAAGGGCUUCGCAGGCUGGAAGCACAGCACUGAGGGUGUGGCGAGCUCCAGCAAGGGUGAGCAGCCACGGGGGCGGCCGUGGUGCUGGCAGAUGAACCAUGCCAAUAUGGAGGGAGCGAGGGACAGAUUUUAAUAAGCCACGGUGAGGACGGUGGAUUCUGCUCGCAGGCAAAGGAUAGUGACUGAAGCUUCUGGAACAGUGACAUGUACCUGACAUCUAGUUUUGACAAGAGAGUGCUGGCCCUGAUGGCCAGCCAGGGUUUGCCCCGUGGCUCGAGGUUACCGGUACUUUGUGUACUUUUCCCCCAAGGCUGUAGGAGAAAUAAGAACUCUAGCCAGAUUUGCUGGGCUCUUCUCUCUGUAGCCUAGUGCUCUGGGGACCUAUCUGGCUUAGAGGCGGGUUUGUCUUUGGAGUGCUUUCUUGAGAAAGGAGUGCUCUCUGCAAACCCUCUCUCCCUUCCCUCUCUUCACCCUGGAGAUUGUCUUUACAUUCAGCUUGAGACUGCGCUGAAAGAUCCUUGGUACCUCUGUGGUCUCUUGAGUGGACUGCCCGACCCAGUGGGCAAGGAGCCCCCACGUCUGGCAGACCAAGCCAGCCCAUUCCUCACAUGUCAUGGAUUUUCCUGGAGGGAAACAGCGGAUGCCACAUGGUCAUGGCUUGAAAGGAUUCCAUGCUGUCUGCACAAAUAGAGACUGGAGCCUCUGGGAACAGCCUUGCUCUCACCUCACUCCCAGAAAGCCUCCCUGCCCUGGCCCGUGCAAACAGGCAGUGAAUUGUUGCUCUCACUUCUACACACUGAUGUACUGUGGGGCUGAGGCUUGGGGUUUUUGCCUUAAAAAAAAUAAAUC
This 903-nucleotide long non-coding RNA is filed under the name Homo sapiens (human). RNAcentral's name for it is "HSALNT0184434". Lineage: Eukaryota; Metazoa; Chordata; Mammalia; Primates; Hominidae. The record is from RNAcentral.